RNAcentral lists this long non-coding RNA (486 nucleotides) under Urocitellus parryii (Arctic ground squirrel). Its description in RNAcentral is "lncRNA (ENSUPAG00010006064.1)". The record is from RNAcentral. Lineage: Eukaryota; Metazoa; Chordata; Mammalia; Rodentia; Sciuridae.
AAAAGAUCCGGUUCGGAAGCUUAGAUAUUUGGCUUGGGCCUCCCGGCAGGGCGGGGCGAGGUGGGCCUGAAUCUUCACGGGGCGGGGCCACGCUCUACUGGGCGGGGCCUCAAGCAAGGGGUGGAGUCGACGGCCGGGUACCUCCUCACGUGCGGGACUGGCGAGCCCGCAGGUUAGCACACAACGCGCGAUGAUGGCGUGCCUUCCUUCUGACCUGAUGGGAUGCCAGGAGGGCCACUCCCAUCCUGGGCAGGACUGGGCGCGCGUGGGUGUGUGGAUGAGCAGGACACGAGGCAUUUCCACGGGGGACCGAAUGGAAGGACAAGCAGAGACCAUACUCCUGGGGAUCACGCGAGGGCAGGCACAAGGUGGGGCGGUGGGUGGGACCCAGCUUUCCUAGAAACCCCUCUGGGGUCCUCUCUCCUCCCCACUUGGGGCAUUAUGAGACCUCAAAAUGUCAAGGAAAAAACGAGGAUUUUCCUUCCA